Molecule: ribosomal RNA, 440 nt
Filed under: uncultured bacterium
Lineage: Bacteria
Description: bacterial SSU rRNA
Rfam family: Bacterial small subunit ribosomal RNA
Source: RNAcentral
CCUACGGGUGGCUGCAGUCGAGAAUCUUCGGCAAUGGGCGCAAGCCUGAUCCAGCCAUGCCGCGUGAGUGAUGAAGGCCCUAGGGUUGUAAAGCUCUUUUGUGCGGGAAGAUAAUGACGGUACCGCAAGAAUAAGCCCCGGCUAACUUCGUGCCAGCAGCCGCGGUAAUACGAAGGGGGCUAGCGUUGCUCGGAAUCACUGGGCGUAAAGGGUGCGUAGGCGGGUCUUUAAGUCAGGGGUGAAAUCCUGGAGCUCAACUCCAGAACUGCCUUUGAUACUGAAGAUCUUGAGUUCGGGAGAGGUGAGUGGAACUGCGAGUGUAGAGGUGAAAUUCGUAGAUAUUCGCAAGAACACCAGUGGUGUAGACGGCUUUCUGGACCGACACUGACGCUGAGACACGAAAGCGUGGGUAGCAAACAGGAUUAGAUACCCUUGUAGUC